Long non-coding RNA from Haemorhous mexicanus (house finch), 816 nucleotides. RefSeq lists it as uncharacterized. The transcript is spliced from 2 exons. The record is from RefSeq and is a predicted model, not a curated record. NCBI's taxonomy places the organism in Eukaryota, Metazoa, Chordata, Aves, Passeriformes, Fringillidae.
UGGGAAGACACACCCUGAGCCCAAAACACGAACCCCUCGCUGAUGCCCAGCCGGGGCAGCCCUCGCUGCUGCUUGCACGCGUUUAUCAGGUGCGCUGAUUAACUCCCAACUCGGACACAGCAAAACCUGAAACUCGCUCUGCCCUCAGCUGUUUUCCUCCAUCCACUACAGCAGGAGGAAUCACAAGACUUUUCGCGGAGAAAAGCAAAGCAGAACAAGUCGCUGCAGGACGAUCGCAGUCGCGCAGCGGCGGGCAGCGCUCACGGCCCGGCCCGGCCCGGCCCGGGACACCUUCCCCGGCAUUCCUUACCCUCCUCGCUCCUCCCAGGGACGGCGAAUCGCUCCCUCGCCCGGCCCGAAGCGUCUCCCACGCCCCCGGCCCGGAGCUGGGCAGCCAGCAUUCCUUCCUUCCUCCCUCCCUCCCCGCCCAGCGAUGGGAGGUCGCUUCCCAGAGAUGCGGUCAUGCCGCGAAGAGAUGCGCGACAGCGGCCCGAGCAUCCCCGGAGCGCGGGGAUUCUCCGCAAAAACCGGCUCUUGGUCCUUUAUUGCUUGGCACUAGGGACCAGGAAGCAGUAAGAUACAGAGCUUUUAGAUGAAACAGGAACAGACAUCUGCUGCUAGCCAGGAAGACACAAGCAACAGAAACAUCGUGUACUGUGUGCUGCUGAUGCAAUGAACAGGAGCAGAAUCAAUCACCAGAAAGGUUAAGUUGGCUUUCCUGUUAAGUCCAUAAUGUUUGAGCAUUUCCAUAGCUAAAAGGAAAAUAUGUCAUUUACUAAUAAACACAAUAUUAGAAUUAGUAAAAAAUCUGAAGAA